UGUAGCCCGCAGAAGCUACUGUGUUCCUGCACCUUUGUCUUUGGUUCAUGUAGACACCAACCAUAAAUUAAUCAGAUUCAAUAUUGUAAUAUUUGGUGGGAUUGAUGGUUUCUCAAGAAAGAUCCUAUAUCUUGAUGCUGCUGCCAACAACAAAGCCUCAACCGCAUUCUCCUUCUUCUUGGAUGGUGUCUGCAAACAUGGAUGGCCCUCAAGAGUACGUGGUGACCAGGGGGUGGAAAAUGUUGACAUUGCUCGUUGCAUGUUCUCUGUCAGGGGAACUGGACGUGGUAGCUUCAUUGCUGGUAAAAGUGUCCACAAUCAAAGUCUGACCUGAAGUGCUUCCUGGGUAGCUGGAACAAGCACCCUAUCAGAACCGAAGGAAACUUGUCUCCAGAGCAGCUGUGGUGUAUUGGUAUGCUCCAAACACCAGUGGAUGAGCCAGAUGUAGAGCCAAUGGAGAAUCCUGUGGAGUCCUGCACCGACGCUGAAGUGGAUGGUGGAGUGGUGGUGUCCGAGAUCCCUUGCCCACUGUCAGACCAGAAACAUGCUGUCCUUCAGGGAUUAAUAAAUCCAUUGACCUCAACCUUGUCUCAUAAGGAGCUCUAUAUUCAGACUCUUAAUCUGGUACAAUUACUUUUAUAAGACACAAGGAGAGCAACAAACAUGACAGAGUGGUGCUUGAAAGUUUGUGUAAAUGUUAUUUGUAUAGACAUUAAAGAAUCUGUUCUGCUUGACAUGUUUAGCUGCAAGCGUGUGAUGAAAGUUUGCAAAUGAUUGAAACCAAUCAGCUUGAAUUUUUAGUUAUGCCCUUGAACUUGUAAAAAUGCUAAAAGAAAUGGCAAAAGUAAUAAAUAUACUUCUUUUUA
Molecule: long non-coding RNA, 866 nt
Organism: Astyanax mexicanus (Mexican tetra)
Lineage: Eukaryota; Metazoa; Chordata; Actinopteri; Characiformes; Acestrorhamphidae
Exons: 6
Source: RefSeq, a predicted model, not a curated record